This 315-nucleotide unclassified non-coding RNA is filed under the name plant metagenome. Its description in RNAcentral is "partial contains 5.8S ribosomal RNA, internal transcribed spacer 2, and large subunit ribosomal RNA". The stretch from base 1 to 106 matches the Rfam family "5.8S ribosomal RNA", at positions 50 to 154 of the family's 154-position model. The record is from RNAcentral.
GAAAUGCGAUAAGUAAUGCGAAUUGCAGAAUUUCCGUGAGUCAUCGAAUCUUUGAACGCACAUUGCGCCCAUUGGUAUUCCGAUGGGCAUGCCUGUUCGAGCGUCAUUAUCUUCCCUCAAACCUCGGGUUUGGUGUUGGGGAUCGGGCUGCGGUUCUCCGCGUCCCGGCCCCGAAAUCUAGUGGCGGUCUCGCUGCAGCCUCCAUUGCGUAGUAGCUAACACCUCGCAACUGGAACGCGGCGCGGCCAAGCCGUUAAACCCCCAACUUCUGAAUGUUGACCUCGGAUCAGGUAGGAAUACCCGCUGAACUUAAGC